This 465-nucleotide ribosomal RNA is filed under the name uncultured bacterium. Its description in RNAcentral is "partial 16S ribosomal RNA". It matches the Rfam family "Bacterial small subunit ribosomal RNA", at positions 338 to 795 of the family's 1533-position model. The record is from RNAcentral.
CCUACGGGUGGCAGCAGUGGGGAAUAUUGCGCAAUGGGCGAAAGCCUGACGCAGCGACGCCGCGUGAGGGAUGAAGGUCUUCGGAUCGUAAACCUCUGUCAGCAGGGAAGAACGGUCACUGUGCUAAUCAGCAGUGAAUUGACGGUACCUGCAAAGGAAGCACCGGCUAACUCCGUGCCAGCAGCCGCGGUAAUACGGAGGGUGCGAGCGUUAAUCGGAAUUACUGGGCGUAAAGCGCUCGUAGGCGGUAUGUCAAGUCAAGGGUGAAAUCCCCGCGCUCAACGUGGGAACUGCCUUUGAUACUGGCAAACUGGAGUGUGUGAGAGGAUAGUGGAAUUGCAGGUGAAGGAGUGAAAUGCGUAGAUAUCUGGAGGAACAUCAGUGGCGAAGGCGACUAUCUGGCACAUAACUGACGCUGAGGAGCGAAAGCGUGGGUAGCAAACAGGAUUAGAUACCCUUGUAGUC